GUGUCAGCAGCCGCGGUAAUACGGAGGGUGCAAGCGUUGUCCGGAUUUAUUGGGUUUAAAGGGUGCGUAGGUGGUCUGAUAAGUCUGGUUUGAAAGUUGGUCGCUUAACGAUCAAGGGUGGCUGGAUACUGUUGGACUUGAAUGGGGUGGCGGUAGCCGGAAUGGGUUGUGUAGCGGUGAAAUGCAUAGAGAUGACCCGGAACACCGAUUGCGAAGGCAGGCUACUACGCCUUAAUUGACACUGAGGCACGAGAGCAUGGGGAGCAAACAGGAUUAGAUACCCUGGUAGUCCAUGCCGUAAACGAUGAUUACUGGCUGUUGGGUUUUCGGAUUCAGUGGCUAAGCGAAAGCGGUAAGUAAUCCACCUGGGGAGUACGCCGGCAACGGUGAA
Molecule: ribosomal RNA, 391 nt
Filed under: uncultured bacterium
Lineage: Bacteria
Description: bacterial SSU rRNA
Rfam family: Bacterial small subunit ribosomal RNA
Source: RNAcentral